GUAGAGCACUCCUACGGGAGGCAGCAGUGGGGAAUAUUGCACAAUGGGCGCAAGCCUGAUGCAGCCAUGCCGCGUGUAUGAAGAAGGCCUUCGGGUUGUAAAGUACUUUCAGCAGUGAGGAAGGUGGGUAUGUUAAUAGCAUAUUCAUUUGACGUUAGCUGCAGAAGAAGCACCGGCUAACUCCGUGCCAGCAGCCGCGGUAAUACGGAGGGUGCGAGCGUUAAUCGGAAUUACUGGGCGUAAAGCGCAUGCAGGUGGUUUGUUAAGUCAGAUGUGAAAGCCCGGGGCUCAACCUCGGAAUUGCAUUUGAAACUGGCAAACUAGAGUACUGUAGAGGGGGUAGAAUUUUAGGUGUAGCGGUGAAAUGCGUAGAGAUCUGAAGGAAUACCGGUGGCGAAGGCGGCCCCCUGGACAGAUACUGACACUCAGAUGCGAAAGCGUGGGGAGCAAACAGGAUUAGAUACCCUGGUAG
RNAcentral lists this ribosomal RNA (472 nucleotides) under uncultured bacterium. Its description in RNAcentral is "bacterial SSU rRNA". It matches the Rfam family "Bacterial small subunit ribosomal RNA", at positions 328 to 793 of the family's 1533-position model. The record is from RNAcentral.